This is a long non-coding RNA of Sander lucioperca (pikeperch), 266 nucleotides long. RefSeq lists it as uncharacterized. The record is from RefSeq and is a predicted model, not a curated record. The transcript has 3 exons. NCBI's taxonomy places the organism in Eukaryota, Metazoa, Chordata, Actinopteri, Perciformes, Percidae.
AAGAUUUGCAAUAAAACAAAACCAUUUAAGAACAUUGAAGGAAAUGUUGAAGCAGUCUGAACCGGCCCGUCUCAGCUCGACCCAAACCAGCUGAUGGUGUCGCUGCGACUCAGCUGGUGGAGUCUCCAGAGGCUGGUUUUAGAACGUAAGAGACGUCUCCUGUUUCAACAGCUAAUAGAGAAGUCAGCUCACCAAGUCAGCUACAAACUGUAGAAACAAAAUGAUCCAGAAUCCAUUUUAUUUCUAUUUGAAACAAGAGUUUUAGG